RNAcentral lists this ribosomal RNA (494 nucleotides) under uncultured bacterium. RNAcentral's name for it is "partial 16S ribosomal RNA". It matches the Rfam family "Bacterial small subunit ribosomal RNA", at positions 899 to 1397 of the family's 1533-position model. The record is from RNAcentral.
ACUCAAAUGAAUAGACGGGGACCCGCACAAGCGGUGGAUGAUGUGGAUUAAUUCGAUGCAACGCGAAAAACCUUACCUACGUUUGACAUGCCAGGAAUCCAGAAGAGAUUUUGGAGUGCUCGAAAGAGAACCUGGACACAGGUGCUGCAUGGCUGUCGUCAGCUCGUGUCGUGAGAUGUUGGGUUAAGUCCCGCAACGAGCGCAACCCUUAUCAUUAGUUGCUACGCAAGGGCACUCUAAUGAGACUGCCGGUGACAAACCGGAGGAAGGUGGGGAUGACGUCAAGUCCUCAUGGCCCUUAUACGUAGGGCUUCACACGUCAUACAAUGGUCGGUACAGAGGGUCGCCAACCCGCGAGGGGGAGCCAAUCCCAGAAAACCGAUCGUAGUCCGGAUUGCACUCUGCAACUCGAGUGCAUGAAGUCGGAAUCGCUAGUAAUCGCGGAUCAGCAUGUCGCGGUGAAUACGUUCCCGGGUCUUGUACACACCGCCCGU